CCUUGAAACACCGGUCCCCGUACGAUCAAAUAAGUUAAGCCACGUCAUGCCUGAUCAGUAUCUAGAUGGGUGACCGCUUGUGAAUACCAGGUGU
Acanthosepion pharaonis is the source of this 94-nucleotide non-coding RNA. NCBI's taxonomy places the organism in Eukaryota, Metazoa, Mollusca, Cephalopoda, Sepiida, Sepiidae. The record is from the annotation of a GenBank genome assembly.